GUGGAGGUGCGGGCACUGAGCAUGCAGGCCAAGGAGUAUCUGUACCAUAAGCAUUUGGGCAACGAGAUGCCCCGCAACAACCUUCUCAUUGAGAUGCUGCAGGCCAAGCAGACUUGAGCCUGGGUGCCAGGCAGCGGGCAGUAGGCAGGGAUGCCACUGCCUCCAAAAGACUCCUUGCAUUAGGUGAUCCAGGAGCCCUGUCCCUAAGCCCCUGCCCCUGAGCUCCAGAGCUGUGUGUUUGGGAUGAUGGGCAAGGAUGGGCGGGGACUGCCCGGGACAGGUUGCCUUCGCUAGCCACUGGCAUGUGUCUGCCACUUGGAGUGCCCCAGAGGGGUGACUUCUAACCACUCCUUCCUCCGUCUGCCCCCAGCUUUUUUUCCUGGUAUCUGAGGUCCCAGGAGGAGGCUUGGGAUUCCUUGGUGGGCCUGAAUGUCUGUUGGGUCAGAGGUCAUCCUUUCCCUCUCUCCUGUGAUCAGAGGCAGAGGAAGGUCUGUAGGCAUCAAUGAAGGCAGGGGAGGGGGGGUCUCCAGACUCCCCUGAAGCAGGGAAGGAAGUCCACUAUUGCAAACUGAGUUUGCUAAAUUGGGUCUCUAGAGGACACCAUGAGAGCGGAUAGGGCAAAAAGACCCCCUCCAGCCCCCCCCCCCCAUCUAAUUCUGAUCCACUCCCUGGAAAGGGACUUUGUUGUGAUCAUCCUUUUCCUGCAUCCCAGCUACCCAAGGAGGAGGAGGAGUCUGGCCCUGCCCUCCACCAGCUGGCUGGGCUGGUACUUAUCUGCAAGGUUGCAGUCACCAGGAUUCUCUUCCUUUUACCUAGACAGUCCUUGGAAAGUGUGUGAGAGAGAAAUGGGCAGGAGACAGACUGAGGACUGAACUGGGAUGUGGGGAUUAGCACCAAAGCUCUUUCUCCUGACAUCUCCUUCCUGAUCAUCUGGUCAUCUUCAUGUAUCUUGCCUCACUCCUGAGAAGAGCUGUUGCUUGCCCUCUGUCCCAGCCCCACUAUAGGAGCAACGGGAGGCCUGCAAGGGCUUAGAGUCCUUUCAGGUGGGGAUAUGGGUAAACCUAGGAGAACUCACGGAUCUUUAUAUGACGACAGUGCUGAGGACUCUCUCAUGGCUCUAUCCUUUUGGGUCCCUUGUCACAACCCUUGAAGCUGGCGUCAGUCCCCUGGCUGCUGCUUUGCCUCCCAAAAGUCACUCUUCAGGGCCAAGCACUGAGGGGAGAGGCCUAAGCUAUCCUCUGUUUCAGACUGGGCAUCCACUGUCUUUCCUGCUUUCGUGUCAGAUUUACAGCUUACGCUAGGCCUGCCCAACUGGACAAGGCUGUCUCCUGUCUUCAACCACCCUGGCUCAGACCCCACCUCUGCCCCUGAAAUGCGUGAUCCCACCAAGGCCAGAGACCCACAGCCCCAAGACAAGAAGUGCCCUUAUAAACCCCUGCAGCCCUGCAGCCCUGAAAUAAAUUUUGCAAUUAGUUUCCAGU
RNAcentral lists this long non-coding RNA (1481 nucleotides) under Rattus norvegicus (Norway rat). Its description in RNAcentral is "long non-coding RNA NONRATT019254". Lineage: Eukaryota; Metazoa; Chordata; Mammalia; Rodentia; Muridae. The record is from RNAcentral.